AGGGUAGUUCAGGUUAUCUUGACGAAUCAAAUUACAACCCAUCUGAGCGGAGCCCUUGCUUCUCAGGCAGACCUGGUGUCUCCAGCUGAUGAUUUGUCCCUGUCUGAAGGCGCCUCGGGACCCAGCUGUGUGGUCGCUGCACUAGGAAACACCUGGAGUCACAGUGUGAACACCCGACUGAUCCUCCAGUACCUUGAUUCAGAGAAAAGACAGGGAGGUCCCUCCAGGUUUGAGAGCCCCAUGGCUGGGCUUCAGGCCUUGUUCCCAGGGAGGCAUUGGAUGACAGAUUCUCAUUGCCAAGUCCCCCCUGGCUCCCGUCACCUCAUUUGUCUAUACCAUCGAGGCAGAAGGCCUGGUUCUUCAAGGGAAAACUUCCUUGUGCCUGUUGGUGUCGGGAGGCCUGGAGCUACACAGCGCGCCCAUGCUGUCUCACACGUCAGCUAUGCAAUAUGUGAGCAAUGGUGAGUCUUGCGGCAAAUGUGAGAGCCACUCACAUCACCAAAGACUACCAAUUUAUGUAAUCGUCUAACUAGAAAAACUACAAGAAGUCAGCUAACAAUAGUAUGCACAGAAGAAGUCUGGAAGGAAAUUUAUUCAGCACCAAUAAUUGUUGUUCCUGCAUGAGAUUAUGAGGUUAUUUGUAUUUUCUUCUUCAUACUCUUUAUAUUUUUCAAAUCUUUGAUAAAUGUCUAUUUCUACACCUGAAAUUUUGAAAACAUCAUUUUGAAAAAGUCUUCGCUGAACUGUUUAAGAGAAAAAACUCAGAGGUUGUUGGUGACAGCAACAAGGUAGGGGAAAGGGUUGGUGGUCUGAAGGAAUGGCCAUCGGAUUUAACCCUCUCCAUGUUGCUGGAACAAAAUGCCGGCACUCACAACUUAAAGGAGGAAAGGUGUAUUUUGGCGUAUGGGUUUUAGAGUCUUUAGUCCAUAGUUGGCUCCAACCAUAGUUGGUUUAGUCCAGUGGCUCCCAGGCAGGAAGGGCAUGUUGGAAAGGUCUGGUGGAGGAAAAGCUGCUCGGGUCUUGGUGGUCAGGAAGAGAUCUGAGAGAGAGGAGCAGAGGAGGGAGAUAUAUACACCAUUUCAGGUCGCAGUCCUGGUAACCUGCCUCUUCCUACCUGGCCCCACUUCCUGAAAGCACACUCACGUCUGUCAGUGGAUUAAUCCCUUAACAAGUGUUGCAUCCCUGUGACACAAUCACCUUCCCAAAGACCCAUUUCUGAAUACAUGAACUUUUGCGGGGCAGGGCUUGUUAGAUCUAAAGCAUAACAGCAUCCAAAGAGCUACAGUCUGUAAAGGAUAAAGGAGGAGUUUGGAAUUAGCGGCGGCAAGCAAGGAAGCCAGUUUCUCUGUCUUCAAACUUUGGGAUUUGUGUGGGCAGUAGUAGAAAAGCAACCCCAUUUUUGAGUGCUGUGGAAAAAUCCACAUCCUCAGGGCCAGUCGGGCUUUAGAUAAAGCCUGAAGAUGAACAGAACAUUCAAAGAAGACAAGGAUUUAGAGGAGUGCUAAAAAGCUCAAUGGGGUGGGUGAAUAUUGGGUCAGAAUCAGUAAUACCACCACCAUUGUUUAUGGCAUCCCCCCCUCGAUCACCCCUGCCACCUCCACUGGAAUGUAAAUCCCAUGAGGAUAAAUAUCUUUGUCUGUUUUGCUCAUGAACGUGUCUCAAGGACUGUAACAGUGCCUGGAACAUUGUAGAUGCUCAAUAAACAUUUUCAAAGUGAAUAAUUGUAACUAAUAUUUAUUGUGCACUAAUGUACCAAGGAUGUUACUAAGUGCUUUAUACGGCUUGGUUGUUCUUGUUUGUUUUUGUUUUGCAGUGCUAGCGGAUUGAACCUAGGGUCUCAUCCAUGCUAUGCAAGUGCUCUACCACCGAGCUACACGCCCAACCCUUACAUGUGUAAUUAUUUUACUGCCCCCAUUUUGUAGCGGAGGACAUUGAGGUCCAGCGACUUAGGUUAAGUAACUUUCCUAAGGUCCCAGGGCUAGCAAGAGAUAGAAUGAAAGGUGAAACACUCUCUAGCUUUGAUUUGAGUGUAAAGC
This 2036-nucleotide long non-coding RNA is filed under the name Chinchilla lanigera (long-tailed chinchilla). Its description in RNAcentral is "lncRNA (ENSCLAG00000025246.1)". The record is from RNAcentral. Lineage: Eukaryota; Metazoa; Chordata; Mammalia; Rodentia; Chinchillidae.